Non-coding RNA from Triticum aestivum (bread wheat), 124 nucleotides. The record is from Rfam. NCBI's taxonomy places the organism in Eukaryota, Viridiplantae, Streptophyta, Magnoliopsida, Poales, Poaceae.
CUAGUACUCCCUCCGUCCGGAAAUACUUGUCCUAAAAAUAGUUGUAUCUAGACUUAUUUUAGUUAUAGAUACAUCCAUUUUAUCCAUUUUUAGGACAAGUAUUUCCAGACGGAGGGAGUAAGAG